RNAcentral lists this long non-coding RNA (209 nucleotides) under Mytilus galloprovincialis (Mediterranean mussel). The record is from RNAcentral. Lineage: Eukaryota; Metazoa; Mollusca; Bivalvia; Mytilida; Mytilidae.
UGUGUCUUGCUACAUGUACAGUGGUAAUUCAAGAUGACACUUUAGUUCUAAUAUGAGCUCAUUAUAAGCAUCCAUCUUUAAUGUUUUGGUACUUGUACGAAACUCAGGAUUAAAUGGUUUAUGACUAAAUGAUUUUUUCUGAUGAGUGCCAUAUUAAUACAUCAUUCUGUAUAUAGGUCUUCAAUUUUCACAUCGAACAUUCCCAUGUC